This 492-nucleotide ribosomal RNA is filed under the name uncultured bacterium. Its description in RNAcentral is "bacterial SSU rRNA". It matches the Rfam family "Bacterial small subunit ribosomal RNA", at positions 372 to 882 of the family's 1533-position model. The record is from RNAcentral.
UGGGCGAAAGCCUGAUGCAGCAACGCCGCGUGAGCGAUGAAGGUCUUCGGAUCGUAAAGCUCUGUCCUCAAGGAAGAAUAUUGACGGUACUUGAGGAGGAAGCCCCGGCUAACUACGUGCCAGCAGCCGCGGUAAUACGUAGGGGGCUAGCGUUAUCCGGAAUUACUGGGCGUAAAGGGUGCGUAGGCGGUCUUGCAAGUCAGAGGUGAAAGGCUACGGCUCAACCGUAGUAAGCCUUUGAAACUGUAGGACUUGAGUGCAGGAGAGGAAAGUGGAAUUCCCAGUGUAGCGGUGAAAUGCGUAGAUAUUGGGAGGAACACCAGUUGCGAAGGCGGCUUUCUGGACUGUAACUGACGCUGAGGCACGAAAGCGUGGGGAGCGAACAGGAUUAGAUACCCUGGUAGUCCACGCCGUAAACGAUGAGUACUAGGUGUCGGGGGUUACCCCCCUCGGUGCCGCAGCUAACGCAUUAAGUACUCCGCCUGGGAAGUA